UACAGAGGGUGCAAGCGUUGUUCGGAAUUACUGGGCGUAAAGCGCGUGUAGGCGGCCCGGUAAGUCGGAUGUGAAAGCCCUGGGCUUAACCUAGGAAGUGCAUUCGAAACUGCUGGGCUUGAGUUCUGGAGAGGAAGGCGGAAUUCUCGGUGUAGAGGUGAAAUUCGUAGAUAUCGAGAGGAACACCGGUGGCGAAGGCGGCCUUCUGGACAGUGACUGACGCUGAGACGCGAAAGCGUGGGGAGCAAACAGG
This 253-nucleotide ribosomal RNA is filed under the name uncultured bacterium. Its description in RNAcentral is "partial 16S ribosomal RNA". It matches the Rfam family "Bacterial small subunit ribosomal RNA", at positions 524 to 776 of the family's 1533-position model. The record is from RNAcentral.